GUUUCAAAUACUUGACUGAAACCUGUAGAAAAUGCCACUCCUUACAUUUUAUGGAAAAUAAGCUACGUGGACCUGGCUAGCUGCAGAAAGGGCUUAUCCAGGAACAUAUGUCUGUACGUUGAACUUGCAUAAUGAAGGCAAUUAUUUUCCAUUCAACCCCCCUAACACAUAUUACAACAUUCGUUCUCAGCAGCGGUGAGGAAAUGGAUCCAAACGGUUCCAGCUCCCCCUGGCCCUUUAUCAAGGAGCCUUUACAAGCACUGUAGACUGUAUUACUAAAUCAUUCCCUCUUACAAACGAUUACUAGCCCUGUCAUGUUAUCUACUCAGCUGGAACUGCAAAACCACUGCAACUAAAUUAAGCCAUAUGUCCUCUAUAAUUCCUUGCAGUGAUGAUGAACUCACACUACCUAGUUGAGAAGUAGGUGCAUGGGUUUUGUGUGUGUUUGUGUGCGGGUACGCAGACAGAAAUGCUCCACAACCACGGGCUCAGGUGAAGCUCUGCUUGGCACCCAGCCCUCCAGAGCAGACAGUGGUUAACGGGAUGUCUCCGUCUGAGUUUUCUAGCCACGAAGAAGCAGGAGGAAAAGGCUCUGGACACAUCAAAUGGAGCUGUCUACAAAGGGAAACGAAGAGGAUUAUGAGAUCUUUAUCGGGAUCUUUUUACAAGGCUGAUGUGUGAAAGCAAGAGCGUGGUGUGAAGGAACAUCUGCCACAUCGUUAACACAUAGAAGAUGGAAAGAAGGCCUAAAAGGCGAGCGUGGGAGUAUUUGGGGUGAAGAAGUUGUUCAAAAAAGACCUAAAAAGACACAGAAGGGAAAUCUUUUCCCUUGAUAUUAGUGCUGAUAAUGAAAACAGGUAAUGAAGUGAGAGCAUGGAAUGAGAUGGGAUAUAUCUCAUACCAACAUCGACAGGCUCAUGGUUAAGGUCAUUUCCCACCAGUUAAUGGAGACCUCCUGCCCCAAGCCAGGCAUGAACCAUGGUUAAGGUCAUUUCCCACCAGUUAAUGGAGUCCUCCACUGACCUCCUGCCCCAAGCCAGGCAUGAACCGCUGGCUGUCAGUGCUGCUGCCAAUGGGAAAUAUUUUUCUGCAGUACUCUGAUUCCAUCUUUCUGAAUCAUUUUUUGAACGUUUCAAGCCC
Molecule: long non-coding RNA, 1140 nt
Filed under: Calidris pugnax (ruff)
Lineage: Eukaryota; Metazoa; Chordata; Aves; Charadriiformes; Scolopacidae
Description: lncRNA (ENSCPUG00000003716.1)
Source: RNAcentral